This 497-nucleotide ribosomal RNA is filed under the name uncultured bacterium. RNAcentral's name for it is "partial 16S ribosomal RNA". It matches the Rfam family "Bacterial small subunit ribosomal RNA", at positions 28 to 507 of the family's 1533-position model. The record is from RNAcentral.
GAUGAACGCUGGCGGCGUGCCUAAUACAUGCAAGUCGAGCGAACAGACGAGGAGCUUGCUCCUCUGACGUUAGCGGCGGACGGGUGAGUAACACGUGGAUAACCUACCUAUAAGACUGGGAUAACUUCGGGAAACCGGAGCUAAUACCGGAUAAUAUAUUGAACCGCAUGGUUCAAUAGUGAAAGACGGUUUUGCUGUCACUUAUAGAUGGAUCCGCGCCGCAUUAGCUAGUUGGUAAGGUAACGGCUUACCAAGGCAACGAUGCGUAGCCGACCUGAGAGGGUGAUCGGCCACACUGGAACUGAGACACGGUCCAGACUCCUACGGGAGGCAGCAGUAGGGAAGCUUCCGCAAAGGGCGAAAGCUUGACGGAGCAACGCCGCGUGAGUGAUGAAGGUCUUCGGAUCGUAAAACUCUGUUAUUAGGGAAGAACAAAUGUGUAAGUAACUAUGCACGUCUUGACGGUACCUAAUCAGAAAGCCACGGCUAACUACGUG